GAUGAACGCUGGCGGCGUGUCUAAUACAUGCAAGUCGAGCGAACGGACGAGAAGCUUGCUUCUCUGAUGUUAGCGGCGGACGGGUGAGUAACACGUGGAUAACCUACCUAUAAGACUGGGAUAACUUCGGGAAACCGGAGCUAAUACCGGAUAAUAUUUUGAACCGCAUGGUUCAAAAGUGAAAGACGGUCUUGCUGUCACUUAUAGAUGGAUCCGCGCUGCAUUAGCUAGUUGGUAAGGUAACGGCUUACCAAGGCAACGAUGCAUAGCCGACCUGAGAGGGUGAUCGGCCACACUGGAACUGAGACACGGUCCAGACUCCUACGGGAGGCAGCAGUAGGGAAUCUUCCGCAAUGGGCGAAAGCCUGACGGAGCAACGCCGCGUGAGUGAUGAAGGUCUUCGGAUCGUAAAACUCUGUUAUUAGGGAAGAACGUAUGUGUAAGUAACUGUGCACAUCUUGACGGUACCUAAUCAGAAAGCCACGGCUAACUACGUGCCAGCAGCCGCGGUAAUACGUAGGUGGCAAGCGUUAUCCGGAAUUAUUGGGCGUAAAGCGCGCGUAGGCGGUUUUUUAAGUCUGAUGUGAAAGCCCACGGCUCAACCGUGGAGGGUCAUUGGAAACUGGAAAACUUGAGUGCAGAAGAGGAAAGUGGAAUUCCAUGUGUAGCGGUGAAAUGCGCAGAGAUAUGGAGGAACACCAGUGGCGAAGGCGACUUUCUGGUCAGUAACUGACGCUGAUGUGCGAAAGCGUGGGGAUCAAACAGGAUUAGAUACCCUGGUAGUCCACGCCGUAAACGAUGAGUGCUAAGUGUUAGGGGGUUUCCGCCCCUUAGUGCUGCAGCUAACGCAUUAAGCACUCCGCCUGGGGAGUACGACCGCAAGGUUGAAACUCAAAGGAAUUGACGGGGACCCGCACAAGCGGUGGAGCAUGUGGUUUAAUUCGAAGCAACGCGAAGAACCUUACCAAAUCUUGACAUCCUUUGACAACUCUAGAGAUAGAGCUUUCCCCUUCGGGGGACAAAGUGACAGGUGGUGCAUGGUUGUCGUCAGCUCGUGUCGUGAGAUGUUGGGUUAAGUCCCGCAACGAGCGCAACCCUUAAGCUUAGUUGUCAUCAUUAAGUUGGGCACUCUAAGUUGACUGCCGGUGACAAACCGGAGGAAGGUGGGGAUGACGUCAAAUCAUCAUGCCCCUUAUGAUUUGGGCUACACACGUGCUACAAUGGACAAUACAAAGGGCAGCGAAACCGCGAGGUCAAGCAAAUCCCAUAAAGUUGUUCUCAGUUCGGAUUGUAGUCUGCAACUCGACUACAUGAAGCUGGAAUCGCUAGUAAUCGUAGAUCAGCAUGCUACGGUGAAUACGUUCCCGGGUCU
This 1372-nucleotide ribosomal RNA is filed under the name uncultured bacterium. RNAcentral's name for it is "bacterial SSU rRNA". It matches the Rfam family "Bacterial small subunit ribosomal RNA", at positions 28 to 1381 of the family's 1533-position model. The record is from RNAcentral.